This 71-nucleotide transfer RNA is filed under the name Marmota monax (woodchuck). Its description in RNAcentral is "tRNA.Ala". It matches the Rfam family "tRNA". Rfam says of the family: Transfer RNA (tRNA) molecules are approximately 80 nucleotides in length. The record is from RNAcentral. Lineage: Eukaryota; Metazoa; Chordata; Mammalia; Rodentia; Sciuridae.
GGGGUUGUGGCUCAGAGGUAGAGCGCUUGUCUAGCGUGCACGAGGCACUGGGUUCGAUCCUCAGCACCACA